RNAcentral lists this ribosomal RNA (855 nucleotides) under uncultured marine group I thaumarchaeote. RNAcentral's name for it is "SSU rRNA". It matches the Rfam family "Archaeal small subunit ribosomal RNA", at positions 13 to 875 of the family's 1478-position model. The record is from RNAcentral. Lineage: Archaea; Thermoproteati; Nitrososphaerota.
CCCGCCGGACCUGACUGCUAUCGGAUUGAUACUAAGCCAUGCGAGUCUUUGUAGUAAUACAAGGCAGACGGCUCAGUAACACGUAGUCAACCUACCCUAUGGACAAGAAUAAUCUCGGGAAACUGGGCAUAAUUCUUGAUAGAUCAUAAUGCCUGGAAUGGUUUAUGGUUAAAAUGAUUCGUCGCCAUAGGAUGGGACUGCGGCCUAUCAGCUUGUUGGUGAGGUAAUGGCCCACCAAGGCGAUUACAGGUACGGGCUCUGAGAGGAGAAGCCCGGAGAUGGGUACUGAGACAAGGACCCAGGCCCUAUGGGGCGCAGCAGGCGAGAAAACUUUGCAAUGUGCGAAAGCACGACAAGGUUAAUCCGAGUGAUUUCUGCUAAAGAAAUCUUUUGCCAGUCAUAAAACCACUGGUGAAUAAGGGGUGGGCAAGUUCUGGUGUCAGCCGCCGCGGUAAAACCAGCACCUCAAGUGGUCAGGAUGAUUAUUGGGCCUAAAGCAUCCGUAGCCUGCUCUGUAAGUUUUCGGUUAAAUCUGUAUGCUUAACAUACAGGCCGCCGGAAAUACUGCAGGGCUAGGGAGUGGGAGAGGUAGACGGUACUCGGGAGGAAGUGGUAAAAUGCUUUGAUCUUUCGAUGACCACCUGUGGCGAAGGCGGUCUACCAGAACACGUCCGACGGUGAGGGAUGAAAGCUGGGGGAGCAAACCGGAUUAGAUACCCGGGUAGUCCCAGCCGUAAACUAUGCAAACUCAGUGAUGCAUUGGCUUGUGGCCAAUGCAGUGUUGCAGGGAAGCCGUUAAGUUUGCCGCCUGGGAAGUACGUACGCAAGUAUGAAACUUAAAGAAUUGGCGGGGGA